UUAUUAGGUGAGUGGUGGUGGUGGUGCGUCCAGCAAGUUCGAGUCCUGCCCCAUCCUCCUGCUCACCUCCUAAAAGCCCAAAAAUAGAACAAAUAGAAGGAAAAAAAAAACUAAAAGUUUUCGCCGCUCGCUUCCCGUUUUAAUUUCAGUUUGACAAAAAGGCGAGAUCCUGGCUGCCAAACUCGCACUGAGUGGGGUCCUUUCUGUCAAACGGCGGUUAUGAACGCGUCCAGCUAAUUACGAGUCCUUCGCGCAAACACAACCGCCAAUUAAGUACACUUUCCUCGUGAUAUCACUUAUUUCGCCGACAAACUAUUGGAUGGGAUAGAUAGUUAAAUUAUGCAAUAUUUUGUAAACUUCAAGGGUCAAUAAUCCAUCACAAACUUCAAUCUUUCUGCAGCCGAUAUUCGUGGAGUAAUCCUUCUGGCUCAGCGAUCAGGAUAUCCGCGAUAUAUUACUUAUAUCUCAUAUGUAUAUUAUAUACUUAUAUUUGAAUACUUACAGUCCACGAAGAGUUGAAUGGAUUAGGUCUUCAUUAAGUCGAAAUAUCCUUUCCAUUACUUAGCAAUAUUUAUGCUCACAAGUAGUUUAUGCUACCUGACUGGCAUAAAUCCCGAUUUCUCUUCCCAAUAUCACUAUAUAUAUAACUGGCCAAACUCGCAGCGUGAUGUAUGCAUUUGUGCGUCGGUCAUCGAAGCUGAUGAGCUGGCUAAAUACUGUGUAAUUAAUCACCAGUCGAGCAGUCGAGCAGUUGAGCAGUCGAGCAGCAUGCCAUUUAUUACUCGGCAGUCGCCCGUGCCUGGGAUAUCAGUUGAUUUCCUCCCAGACGCCUAAUUACUCAGAAGAUAGAGAUCCCGUAGCCUGCAGCUUGCACAUGUCCCUUAAUGGCAGCCAUUUUCCAUGCGAUUUAACAAUUUUCGAGCGCGUUUUUAUGCCACACAAUAAGUGGCGCCAUCAAGUAUGCAGCACAGUCUCCAAAUAAUUUACUCAGCUUUUGAAGAAAUAUUCAAUCGAAUUAGUGCGAUUUCUGGCAAGAAUCUUAUAGUUUACAAGUUAUGAAACGAAUAUCUAGCUUGAUUGUGAAUUGUAAUAUAAUUUAAACAACUGAAGAUGUGCUAACUAGAUAUGUACUCGACUAUUUAAGCAGCCUUGUUACCAAGGCAUCCUUUGUAGUAGGCCAAUUCCUGCGAAUGCCAGGGAAAUCGGGCGACAUUCAAAUUUCCCUUUGCAAUUCAUUAGCAAACGCGAUUUGGCGGCUGCCGAGUGUUUAUUAACAAAGCCUCCACUUAACUUUGCGUGGCUUGCUUUUUGA
Long non-coding RNA from Drosophila teissieri, 1312 nucleotides. RefSeq lists it as uncharacterized. The transcript is spliced from 3 exons. Lineage: Eukaryota; Metazoa; Arthropoda; Insecta; Diptera; Drosophilidae. The record is from RefSeq and is a predicted model, not a curated record.